CCUACGGGAGGCAGCAGUGAGGAAUAUUGGUCAAUGGACGAGAGUCUGAACCAGCCACGUAGCGUGAAGGAUGACUGCCCUAUGGGUUGUAAACUUCUUUUAUAUGGGAGUAAAAUGUUCCACGUGUGGGAUUUUGUAUGUACCAUAUGAAUACGGAUCGGCUAACUCCGUGCCAGCAGCCGCGGUAAUACGGAGGAUCCGAGCGUUAUCCGGAUUUAUUGGGUUUAAAGGGAGCGUAGGUGGAUUGUUAAGUCAGUUGUGAAAGUUUGCGGCUCAACCGUAAAAUUGCAGUUGAAACUGGCAGGCUUGAGUACAGGAGAGGUGGGCGGAAUUCGUGGUGUAGCGGUGAAAUGCUUAGAUAUCACGAAGAACUCCGAUUGCGAAGGCAGCUCACUGGACUGCAACUGACACUGAGGCUCGAAAGUGUGGGUAUCAAACAGGAUUAGAUACCCCGGUAGUC
RNAcentral lists this ribosomal RNA (460 nucleotides) under uncultured bacterium. RNAcentral describes it as "partial 16S ribosomal RNA". It matches the Rfam family "Bacterial small subunit ribosomal RNA", at positions 338 to 795 of the family's 1533-position model. The record is from RNAcentral.